Molecule: ribosomal RNA, 490 nt
Filed under: uncultured bacterium
Lineage: Bacteria
Description: partial 16S ribosomal RNA
Rfam family: Bacterial small subunit ribosomal RNA
Source: RNAcentral
AGUGAACGCUGGCGGUAGGCCUAACACAUGCAAGUCGAACGGCAGCACAGGAGAGCUUGCUCUCUAGGUGGCGAGUGGCGGACGGGUGAGGAAUACAUCGGAAUCUGCCCAGUCGUGGGGGAUAACGUAGGGAAACUUACGCUAAUACCGCAUACGACCUUCGGGUGAAAGAGGGGGAUCGCAAGACCUCUCGCGAUUGGAUGAGCCGAUGUCGGAUUAGCUAGUUAGCGGGGUAAUGGCCCACCAAGGCGACGAUCCGUAGCUGGUCUGAGAGGAUGAUCGGCCACACUGGAACUGAGACACGGUCCAGAGUCCUACGGGAGGCAGCAGUGGGGAAUAUUGGACAAUGGUCGCAAGCCUGCUCCAGCCAUACCGCGUGGGUGAAGAAGGCCUUCGGGUUGUAAAGCCCUUUUGUUGGGAAAGAAAUCUUUCAGGCUAAUACCCUGGGAGGAUGACGGUACCCAAAGAAUAAGCACCGGCUAACUUCGUG